This 4336-nucleotide long non-coding RNA is filed under the name Xyrichtys novacula (pearly razorfish). The record is from RNAcentral. Lineage: Eukaryota; Metazoa; Chordata; Actinopteri; Labriformes; Labridae.
UUACAGUCACGUCUUUCUCAUGUUUUUGAAUGCAUCCUCACUCCACUUCCACUUUGCCUCCACUCUUCUUCAGCUCUCUGUCACAUAAAAAUGAAGCAAAGUGAAGUGCGCCACAACAACAACUUGUACUCGCACAAAUGUUCCCCAACAGACUCUGAGGCUGCGAGGUUUAGACAGCAUGUGCAACCGAAUUGGUUGUUAUUUUAAUCCCUGUUUGUCGCAGUGUUUGUCUCAGAUUGUCUGCCUGAUUAUGGGAGAGGUUUUUAAGUGCGAGUCCAAACAGACCCUGUGAUUUAAAAAAUGAUAGCAUAACCGUGAAAUAUGCGCAUGAUUCAACCCAUUUCCCAAAUUUGUGCAGAUUCUUAAAGGCCCUCUUGUUUCGGGACAUUUUUGCACCAGCUGACUGCCAGAGCAGACUAGAAAGUGGAACAUGACGUCUGUGCUGAUGACUUUUAGUCCGUUUUCUUAAUCUUUGCUGUGUUUUAAUGUGCCAUCAACCUGCUAAGAACUGCAGAAGGUUUAUAUACACACAUGAUGAAUUUCUCAGAUAAACAUAUGCGCAUUUUCCCUUCUUAAAUAAAAUACUUUCUCAAAAAUAGGCGUGAAAAAGUCAAAACAGGGUUCAAAGUUGCAUGAAUACUUGGCUUGAAUUGUUGGGCUGCCACUGCUAUUUCACAAAUAAACACAAGUGUCACAUCGUAAGUGUUGGAUGUGUAAAUAACAAACUUAAAAGGUGAUGAAUUAUCAGUUUUCACAGCUUGUUUCAGCGGCUCUUAAAGGUGAUGCAAGCUGUUAUCGUGAUUUCAUAAAUCAGUCUGAACUUUGUGAACUUAAGGGAGUUUUUCUUUCCCUGAACUUGUUUAUUUUUCGGUCUAAAAACUGUUCUAUAAGGGGUAAUUCAGAGCUGUGGUGUCGCAUAGGUAGACUGGUUUUUGUUUUGUUUUCAGCUCUUGAAGAAGAAGCUGGAUUUAAUUACCUAACCCCCCGAUUUAAGACUGUUUUCAUCGCCGGCCUGCAGGUAGAACAGCUGUUGAGUUGUUUUAAAGGUGGGCAGAGACACUCAGGGACUCUCAGACUCUCACUGACUUUCAUUCUGGUCCAACGAGGAAAUGAAUCACAGCUCUCAUCAUCGAAUGAUUAUCAGCCCCCACAUCGCUGACUAAGAUUGUCCCUCGCAGUGCCGCUCUUUCUGCCGGUGACUCCAUCCGAUCUGUUAUGCAUACCCCACCCCACCCCAGCUCAUUCCCCUUCAGCCUCCCUCUCUUCCUCUAUCACUGCUUUAACCUGCUUAUCGGCAGAAACGCAGUGUCCCCCGGGCCCCUCAGACCAGCUAUUUACAUUUCAAAAGUGAACAUCAGAAGUGUUUCUCUCUGACUUUCCCCGCGGUGCUUCAUGUUCUGAGACUCAUCUGAUGCCAGAAAUAAAAACGUUUUUUGUUGGAUCAGCGCUGGAAGAAAGGCUUGUGCUGUCACUUUCACUUCUGUGUUUCACAGCCUGCAGUGAUACUUGUUUGUCGUGUUCUUUGCAGUUUGGGAGCAACAGUUGAAUAUAUUGAUUUUAGUAUGUGUUGUUGGGCUGCUCAUCAAUAUCUAGAGAAGCUUUUGCAGGAAAAUACUUGUUUUGUUUUUAUUUGUGCUUAUAAAAGUCUACAUUUUUCGUCCUGGUAGGUGUUACGUAAGGUCUGCUUUUUAUUAUAACAGCACGAGACUGGGCAUCUGCAUGAAUAUGAAUCAAACACUGUUGUUGAUUAGCACAGUGUGUAUUUUCCUAAUUAACGGAUUGCUGUCCGCAGCUGCCGGUUUAAAACUGCAGAGCCAGACCAUCUGUCCUCUGCAUAAUUAACAACUUCAAAUGAUGGCGCUUUACCUGCUGUUUGUAAAACUAGAUGUCAAAGUGUUGCAGACUGAAAGUGAAGGUUGUUGUAAUUAGAAAACAGUCCAACUGUUUGUGUGCUUAUCAGUCAGUGAUAGGGCUGGGCGAUAAAAGGAUAACAAUAUCAAAAAUUAAUUUCCCUUGAUAUUGAUAUAAAACAUGGUCACUGAGUCCACGCUGCGCCGAACCAAUCAUGUGCUGAAUUAGAUCCAAGUAGCAAACAACUGCAUAGUAGCAAACUGCAGCUACACGCAACCAUAGCACGCAACACGUGAAGCAGACAGCACUGUUGGUGAGAAAAAAAUGAGUGCUCCCCCCGGCAGAAAUGUAGGUGAAGGCUUGACAGAUGACAUGUUAGGGAAUAUCUGAGAUUGAUGAGUGAUUUUUUUAUAUUGUGAUAUAUAUAUCGAUGUCAACUGGUAUGAAAAAGAUAUAUCGUGAUAAACUUUUUCCCAUAUUGCCCAGCCCUAGUCAAUGAUAUAUAUUUUUCAAGGUGAUUUGUAGUGCAUGUUGAAAGUGAAAACUCUUAUUGCUUUAUGAAAAAUAGAAAUAUAUCAUAGAAGCCUGAUUCAUCAUCCAGCUCAUAUUUAUUUCCCCUGGCUGCUGUCGCUGUCAUUCUGAACAGUUUCCUGUCAAUACACCUGACCAAUCAUAGUCCAGUAUUUAGAAAUGGGAUGGGCUCUUCUCACCCUGGUCACCACCUGUUUGACCUCUGGCCCUCAGGCAGGCGGCACAGGUCAAUUAAAAAAAGAACUAACAGACUCAUGAACAGCGUCUUCCCCAAAGCCAUCCAGUACCUUAAUCAACACAUAUAAUGUCUCCAUAACCCAAUUUACAAGCAUAUUUGUGCAUAUCCGAAUGCAUGUCAUUGACUCUUUAUAUCUUCUGCCUGAUUAGGAGUCCAAGGUUUCCAAAAAGAAUGUUAAGCUUUUUUUCCAAAGUAAUGAAUCAACAAAUACAGAGAAUAAGCUCGCUAAAAUCUAAUACAAGUUUUUGUUUUUGAAAAUUUUUGAUUGAAAGUGAAGCAGAAAAAAACAGGGCUCGACAGUGCAACCGUUUCACUCGCAUUUGCGACCAAAAAUAGAUGUGUGCAAAAAAUGUAUUUAUGGGCACAUGUGCAUAAAAAAAAUCAGCCGAGGCAACAAAUGUGUUUUCAUGUAAAUACAGCAGUGAAGUUAGUUUUAGAUUGGAAAUUCGACGGAUAUUCACUGCAGAUCUACCGGUGUCUCCAUAACCGUGAAUAGCAACAGCAGCGCGGUUAAAUCUACUCGGCAUCCUCACUGUCUAGGGUGUUGGAUAAGGGACCGUCAAUGAAUUGCCGGUUGAUGUUUUUAAAAAAAGGCUGUUUUCCUUCAAUAGCUUCCAUGUCAUGUGUCCAAAAGACCUAAUAUUGAUUUCAAAUAAUAAUACUUUAUGUCGACCAAUAAGACAAACAUCAUUCCUUGCUCCUUGUGAAAAAAUUAGUGUCAAGCCAGUGCGGCUCCGUUCACCUGAAGCUGCUGUUUUCCGUCUGCUCUCGCACACACACAGUCAGCUAGCUCUCGCCUUGCUGUCAGCUGAUUGGCUGCAGGCUGGUUGCUGUGUCACAUGGAGUGAUCAGGACUACAGCUCGUCCUCUCUCUUCCUCCUCUGCUUCAGGCUAUCAUUUUUUUUCCCCCUUCCACACUUGAAUAACAAUGUGACAUUACAAGGCAGUUCAGGACAAGCCUGCUAUCUUUACCUGAUACGAUCGCAGCUAUUUUCACUGAGGUUUGCAAACAGUUUGAAGUGGUUGUAUAAUUGCAACAUUAAGUUUAAGAGAGAUGCAAAGUCUGUCACACCCAGGAGUUGUUUCACUUCUGUAUUUUUAGAGGAACCCUGCAAAAAAAAAAAGAAAAAAACGAGUCUAGUCAGAGUCUGUGAUGAUUAUCCAUCUGAGCGAGUGUUUGCAGUUUCACUUUGGUGCUUGCAGAGAUUUAUUAGGCAGCUCGCUACAACUGCUGCUGAAACGCUCAGUCAUAAUCCUCUUAAGUUUGUGUGUGUGUGUGUAAUGAAUACAGAGCAAAGAAAGUCAGAGCAGAGUGGAGAGAGAGUGCACAGGGAGUGUGUCGAGGGUCAGUGUCAGAAGAGCAGAUAUUUGCAAGCAGAGUAAUGCUAAGAUGUUUGUGUACUAUAAUCGAGUCUAUUUUAGAAAAGUCUUUGAUCACAGAGGCUGAUCCAGAGUCAGAUUAUGUCGUAUGGCUGCGUUAUGAAGAAGCUGAUUAUUCCUGUAUAAGAUCAUGAAAAUGAAUAGGUGGUUUAUUUCACUGUGAGUUAUUUAGUAACUGCAGUGCGGAGGAUUUGGAGUCUAACUUCUAAAGAUUGCAAAAUUACACCUGACUUGAACUUCCUCUAAGGUUGCGUCGUAAUUAAGCAGGGUCGCUGGUUUUAAGGUUUUAAGGAGGUUUGCUUGGAUUAAAACUAGCUGGUUCGAGGCAAAGCCAAU